RNAcentral lists this unclassified non-coding RNA (240 nucleotides) under soil metagenome. Its description in RNAcentral is "partial contains 5.8S ribosomal RNA, internal transcribed spacer 2, and large subunit ribosomal RNA". The record is from RNAcentral.
AACCUUAUGGACCUGCGGGCGUAUACCUGCGGAGGGAUCAUUAUAGAGUUUUCUAAACUCCCAAACCCAUGUGAACUUACCAUUGUUGCCUCGGCAGAACCUACCCGGUACCUACCCUGGAACUAGCUACCCUGUAGCUACCCAGGAACGGACUACCCUGUAACGUCCUGCCGGUGGACUUCUAAACUCUUGUUAUUUAUAGUAAUCUGAGCGUCUUAUUUUAAUAAGUCAAAACUUUCA